This 252-nucleotide ribosomal RNA is filed under the name uncultured bacterium. Its description in RNAcentral is "partial 16S ribosomal RNA". It matches the Rfam family "Bacterial small subunit ribosomal RNA", at positions 524 to 776 of the family's 1533-position model. The record is from RNAcentral.
UACGUAGGGCGCAAGCGUUAUCCGGAAUUAUUGGGCGUAAAGAGCUCGUAGGCGGUUUGUCGCGUCUGCCGUGAAAGCCCGGGGCUUAACCCCGGGUCGCAGUGGAUACGGGCAGGCUAGAGGUAGGUAGGGGAGAAUGGAAUUCCCGGUGUAGCGGUGAAAUGCGCAGAUAUCGGGAGGAACACCGGUGGCGAAGGCGGUUCUCUGGGCCUUACCUGACGCUGAGGAGCGAAAGCGUGGGGAGCGAACAGG